GAUGAACGCUGGCGGCGUGCCUAAUACAUGCAAGUCGAGCGAACAGACGAGGAGCUUGCUCCUCUGACGUUAGCGGCGGACGGGUGAGUAACACGUGGAUAACCUACCUAUAAGACUGGGAUAACUUCGGGAAACCGGAGCUUAUACCGGAUAAUAUAUUGAACCGCAUGGUUCAAUAGUGAAAGACGGUUUUGCUGUCACUUAUAGAUGGAUCCGCGCCGCAUUAGCUAGUUGGUAAGGUAACGGCUUACCAAGGCAACGAUGCGUAGCCGACCUGAGAGGGUGAUCGGCCACACUGGAACUGAGUCACGGUCCAGACUCCUACGGGAGGCAGCAGUAGGGAAUCUUCCGCAAUGGGCGAAAGCCUGACGGAGCAACGCCGCGUGAGUGAUGAAGGUCUUCGGAUCGUAAAACUCUGUUAUUAGGGAAGAACAAAUGUGUAAGUAACUAUGCACGUCUUGACGGUACCUAAUCAGAAAGCCACGGCUAACUACGU
This 496-nucleotide ribosomal RNA is filed under the name uncultured bacterium. Its description in RNAcentral is "partial 16S ribosomal RNA". It matches the Rfam family "Bacterial small subunit ribosomal RNA", at positions 28 to 506 of the family's 1533-position model. The record is from RNAcentral.